CAAAGAUGGAGAUUAGGUUUUCUGAUGUGAUGCACAAGGAUUUGUAGAUCUUUUCAAGUGUAGUGCAACGAAAACUAUUAUUUCAUCGAAAUGGAACAUCAGUUUUCGAGAAAAGGAUUUGAUGCACAAACAGAACCAAAACUCUAAGGCAUUUUUUUGUCGAAGCAAUUAUGGUUCUGAACAUAUGCUUCGUAUGUUUAACAGUAAUGGCUAUACUCAACUAGAAACACAAGUUUUACAAGCUUCCAAGUUGGAGAUCGGAGAGGGGAGAACUUCAAACCAAGAAACUGG
This is a non-coding RNA of Vigna umbellata (rice bean), 291 nucleotides long. Lineage: Eukaryota; Viridiplantae; Streptophyta; Magnoliopsida; Fabales; Fabaceae. The record is from RefSeq and is a predicted model, not a curated record.